RNAcentral lists this long non-coding RNA (237 nucleotides) under Elaeis guineensis (African oil palm). RNAcentral describes it as "long non-coding RNA (EGUI_LNC016560)". Lineage: Eukaryota; Viridiplantae; Streptophyta; Magnoliopsida; Arecales; Arecaceae. The record is from RNAcentral.
CACAACCUCCAAAAAUCAUCGGAUGAGCUUCAUCACCUCCUUCGGUGACGAAUCCGGCGAAACCCACACCGUCCGCCCUUACAAUGCCGCUUUCCAACUCGUCUCCGAUGGGUCGCCGCCCUUGAGGGCACUCGGUCGGUCUUGCGUCUCCUUCGCCGUCAUCUACCACCUCGACGGCUCUGAUAGCUGACCAGAUCGCUGGCGAUCACACCCAAAAAGACAACAGCUCGAAUCUCA